RNAcentral lists this ribosomal RNA (898 nucleotides) under Claxtonia wendti. Its description in RNAcentral is "SSU rRNA". It matches the Rfam family "Eukaryotic small subunit ribosomal RNA", at positions 142 to 949 of the family's 1831-position model. Lineage: Eukaryota; Metazoa; Tardigrada; Heterotardigrada; Echiniscoidea; Echiniscidae. The record is from RNAcentral.
GAUAACUGUGGUAAUUCUAGAGCUAAUACAUGCAGCAAGCCUUGACCCUCACGGGCAAGGCGCAGUUAUUAGAUCAAAAACCAAUCGGUUGUACUUUCGGGUAUAGCCGUUACUUUGGUGACUCUGAGUAACCACAGCGAACCGUAUGGCCUCGUGCUCGACGGUCUGUCAGUCAAGCAACUGCCUUAUCAGCUUGUUGUUAGAUUAUAUGCCUAACAAGGCUUCAACGGGUAACGAACGAUCGGGGUCGGAUAUCGGAGAGGGAGCUUGAGAAACGGCUACCACUUCCAAGGAAGGCAGCAGGCGCGCAAAUUACCCACUCUCGGCAUGAGGAGGUAGCAAUAAAAUGUAUCGAUGCGGGGCCUUUAGUGCCUUCGUAAUCGGAAUGAGUACACUUUAAAUCCUAUAACAAGGACCUAUUGGAGGGCAAGUCUGGUGCCAGCAGCCGCGGUAAUUCCAGCUCCAAUAGCGUAUAUUAAUGCUGCUGCGGUUAAAAAGCUCGUAGUCGGAUCUGGGUUACCGGCGGGUACCGCAUGUCGCUUCAUGCAGCAUGUUGUGUACUAUACGUGUCGCUUCGGCGGCACUGCCAGUGUAAUGCUGUCUCAUGUAGGCACGUUAUGCUGGUCGCCGGAACCACGGGCCGGGUUGAGCAGCAUGCUCUUAAUUGAGUGUGUUGUUUACUCGGUGCGUUUACUUUGAAAAAAUUGGAGUGCUCAAAGCAAGCGUACAGUCGCUAUGCGGCUUGAACAGUGGUGCAUGGAAUAAUGGAAUAGGGCCUCGGUUCUAUUUUGUUGGUUUUAAGAUAUCGAGGUAAUGAUUAAGAGGGACAGACGGGGACGUUUGUAUUGCGACGUUAGAGGUGAAAUUCUUGGAUCGUCGCAAGACACACUAAUGCGAA